This 631-nucleotide unclassified non-coding RNA is filed under the name uncultured Russula. Its description in RNAcentral is "sequence contains ITS1, 5.8S rRNA gene and ITS2". The stretch from base 462 to 615 matches the Rfam family "5.8S ribosomal RNA". The record is from RNAcentral. Lineage: Eukaryota; Fungi; Basidiomycota; Agaricomycetes; Russulales; Russulaceae.
CAUUAUCGUACAACCGAGGUGCAAGGGCUGUCGCUGACCUCCAAAGGUUGUGCACGCCCGAGCGCUCUCACACAAUCCAUCUCACACCCCUUUGUGCAUCACCGCGAGGGUCCCAGUGGCUGUAACGGCCCCAAGGUGGGAAUGCGAGGCGAUGUUUUCCCCAACGGAGUCCCGUGCUCGUGCGCCGAGUUCAAGACUGUCCCCUCCAGAAAACUUUGGUGUCCAUCGUCCCUCACAGCGUAGGCUGUGGUCGGAUUUGGAGUAAUCGGCCCUUGUCUAGCCAGGGAAGCAAUUCCGCAGCUAGCAGGACUCACCGAGUUGGUCUUAGGAGAUCAGGGCACGUCAUCUGUCGCGCGGGUGCGCCGUGUCCCUCGUAGACCUUUAUACCUCGCGUUUUCACACAAACCUCUGAUACAGUGUAGAAUGUUAUUUUACCUUUUGCGGUCACACGCAAUCAAUACAACUUUCAACAACGGAUCUCUUGGCUCUCGCAUCGAUGAAGAACGCAGCGAAAUGCGAUACGUAAUGUGAAUUGCAGAAUUCAGUGAAUCAUCGAAUCUUUGAACGCACCUUGCGCCCCUUGGCAUUCCGAGGGGCACACCCGUUUGAGUGUCGUGAAAUCAUCACAACC